Molecule: ribosomal RNA, 497 nt
Filed under: uncultured bacterium
Lineage: Bacteria
Description: partial 16S ribosomal RNA
Rfam family: Bacterial small subunit ribosomal RNA
Source: RNAcentral
GAUGAACGCUGGCGGCGUGCCUAAUACAUGCCAGUCGAGCGAACGGACGAGAAGCUUGCUUUUCUGAUGUUAGCGGCGGACGGGUGAGUAACACGUGGAUAACCUACCUAUAAGACUGGGAUAACUUCGGGAAACCGGAGCUAAUACCGGAUAAUAUUUUGAACCGCAUGGUUCAAAAGUGAAAGACGGUCUUGCUGUCACUUAUAGAUGGAUCCGCGCUGCAUUAGCUAGUUGGUAAGGUAACGGCUUACCAGGGCAACGAUGCAUAGCCGACCUGAGAGGGUGAUCGGCCACACUGGAACUGAGACACGGUCCAGACUCCUACGGGAGGCAGCAGUAGGGAAUCUUCCGCAAUGGGCGAAAGCCUGACGGAGCAACGCCGCGUGAGUGAUGAAGGUCUUCGGAUCGUAAAACUCUGUUAUUAGGGAAGAACAUAUGUGUAAGUAACUGUGCACAUCUUGACGGUACCUAAUCAGAAAGCCACGGCUAACUACGUG